Molecule: ribosomal RNA, 500 nt
Filed under: uncultured bacterium
Lineage: Bacteria
Description: partial 16S ribosomal RNA
Rfam family: Bacterial small subunit ribosomal RNA
Source: RNAcentral
AUUGAACGCUGGCGGCAUGCCUUACACAUGCAAGUCGAACGGCAGCACGGAGCUUGCUCUGGUGGCGAGUGGCGAACGGGUGAGUAAUAUAUCGGAACGUACCCAAGAGUGGGGGAUAACGUAGCGAAAGUUACGCUAAUACCGCAUACGAUCUAAGGAUGAAAGUGGGGGCUCGCAAGACCUCAUGCUCCUGGAGCGGCCGAUAUCUGACUAGCUAGUUGGUGAGGUAAAGGCUCACCAAGGCAUCGAUCAGUAGCUGGUCUGAGAGGACGACCAGCCACACUGGAACUGAGACACGGUCCAGACUCCUACGGGAGGCAGCAGUGGGGAAUUUUGGACAAUGGGGGCAACCCUGAUCCAGCAAUGCCGCGUGAGUGAAGAAGGCCUUCGGGUUGUAAAGCUCUUUUGUCAGGGAAGAAACGGUGAAGGCUAAUAUCCUUUGCUAAUGACGGUACCUGAAGAAUAAGCACCGGCUAACUACGUGCCAGCCGCCGCCGUAA